This 349-nucleotide ribosomal RNA is filed under the name Bos taurus (domestic cattle). Its description in RNAcentral is "partial small subunit ribosomal RNA". It matches the Rfam family "Bacterial small subunit ribosomal RNA", at positions 796 to 1341 of the family's 1533-position model. The record is from RNAcentral. Lineage: Eukaryota; Metazoa; Chordata; Mammalia; Artiodactyla; Bovidae.
UUAGCCCUAAACACAGAUAAUUACAUAAACAAAAUUAUUCGCCAGAGUACUACUAGCAACAGCUUAAAACUCAAAGGACUNGGCGGUGCUUUAUAUCCUUCUAGAGGAGCCUGUUCUAUAAUCGAUAAACCCCGAUAAACCUCACCAAUUCUUGCUAAUACAGUCUAUAUACCGCCAUCUUCAGCAAACCCUAAAAAGGAAAAAAAGUAAGCGUAAUUAUGAUACAUAAAAACGUUAGGUCAAGGUGUAACCUAUGAAAUGGGAAGAAAUGGGCUACAUUCUCUACACCAAGAGAAUCAAGCACGAAAGUUAUUAUNAAACCAAUAACCAAAGGAGGAUUUAGCAGUAA